Podarcis muralis (Common wall lizard) is the source of this 661-nucleotide non-coding RNA. The record is from RefSeq and is a predicted model, not a curated record. NCBI's taxonomy places the organism in Eukaryota, Metazoa, Chordata, Lepidosauria, Squamata, Lacertidae.
CCGCCCUCCGAGGCGCAGAGGGGAGCUGGGCAAGCGCCUUCUUCAACCACGCGCUCGUUUAAAAGUUUCUCUUUCAAAAAGGAAACGUGGGUUUCUUCCACCCCAUUGGCUGCGACUCCGCCCACUCCGUCCUCCUCCCCCUCGCCCGCCCGCGGCGCCUCGCUCCUCAGCCUCCGCCAUGUACCGCUCGCUCCGCUCCCUCCAGCGCCUGAGUUGCGCCAGGGGCGCCACCGUCCACGCACGCCAGAGGGGCCCGCCGACCUGCAGCCGCCACGCGCAGCCACGGAGGAUGGUGAGCUGCAUUGGAAAAGCAGCAUGCAUUCUAAAUACUGAUGGACAAGUUUUGUUCAUUCCAAAGUGGAUUAUAAAAGCAGUGAGUGUUUCUAGUCCUCAGUAUUGCAAGGUUCUGAAAAUCACAGAUACCAGCAUGCAUACAGCAAAGGACUGGUACCUGUAUGGGAUAUGAACUGAUUUGGUGUAUGUGCUGUUGUUGAAAACAUGUUUAUGUGUGUGUAAUUUGUUUUUAUAUAUGCAAUUGUUUCAAACUGUUGCAUACGUGUAACUGUUUUAUAUAUGCUCAUAUUAUAUACUAAAUCGCUUUGAGAUGCCUCAUGAGAAGUGAUUCUUAAAUGAAAAUAAAAUAAGAGGAUAAUAACCACAA